UCGUGAGUAUGACCAUGACCAUGAUCGUGAGCAUGAUCAUGAUCGUGUUUGUGAUCAUGGUCGUGUUUGUGAUCGUGGUCAUGUUUAUGA
RNAcentral lists this microRNA precursor (90 nucleotides) under Melampsora larici-populina 98AG31. RNAcentral describes it as "microRNA mir-598". Lineage: Eukaryota; Fungi; Basidiomycota; Pucciniomycetes; Pucciniales; Melampsoraceae. The record is from RNAcentral.